AGAGUUUGAUCAUGGCUCAGAGUGAACGCUGGCGGCAGGCCUAACACAUGCAAGUCGAACGGCAGCACAGCAGUAGCAAUACUGUGGGUGGCGAGUGGCGGACGGGUGAGGAAUACAUGGGAAUCUGCCCUGUCGUGGGGGAUAACGUAGGGAAACUUACGCUAAUACCGCAUACGACCGGAAGGUGAAAGCGGCGGACCGCAAGGCGUCGCGCGACUGGAUGAGCCCAUGUCGGAUUAGCUAGUUGGCGGGGUAAAGGCCCACCAAGGCGACGAUCCGUAGCUGGUCUGAGAGGAUGAUCAGCCACACUGGAACUGAGACACGGUCCAGACUCCUACGGGAGGCAGCAGUGGGGAAUAUUGGACAAUGGGCGCAAGCCUGAUCCAGCCAUGCCGCGUGAGUGAAGAAGGCCUUCGGGUUGUAAAGCUCUUUUGUCCGGAAAGAAAAGCCUUCGGUUAAUACCCGGGGGUUCUGACGGUACCGGAAGAAUAAGCACCGGCUAACUUCGUGCCAGCAGCCGCGGUA
This 525-nucleotide ribosomal RNA is filed under the name uncultured Pseudomonadota bacterium. RNAcentral describes it as "bacterial SSU rRNA". It matches the Rfam family "Bacterial small subunit ribosomal RNA", at positions 8 to 522 of the family's 1533-position model. Lineage: Bacteria; Pseudomonadati; Pseudomonadota. The record is from RNAcentral.